RNAcentral lists this transfer RNA (73 nucleotides) under Neocallimastix californiae. It matches the Rfam family "tRNA". From Rfam's summary of the family: Transfer RNA (tRNA) molecules are approximately 80 nucleotides in length. Their secondary structure includes four short double-helical elements and three loops (D, anti-codon, and T loops). The record is from Rfam by way of RNAcentral. Lineage: Eukaryota; Fungi; Neocallimastigomycota; Neocallimastigomycetes; Neocallimastigales; Neocallimastigaceae.
GGGGUGUUAGCUCAGCGGUAGAAGCAAUUGACUGCAGAUCAAUAGGUCUUCGGUUCAAAUCCGGAACGCCCCU